AUUGGAUUUUCUGAGAUUGGAAGGCGGCUGUUUCUCGAAAUGUGCCCGAGCCAGCCCCACGCCGCUGCGGGAGAAAACAAGACAAGGCGUGGACGCGCUCAACGUGGUGUCAUCCUAGUAAAAACCGGCUCGGAAAAAAAAAAAAAGCUUCAGGACACUGCUGAAUCGACCACUUUCUGGCAAGGCUCUCCUGCUCCAAAAGACAAAUAAACGGGGAAAAAAAAAAAAAAAAUCCUGAUUACCGCGGAGGUGUUCCCGGGCACACGGGAGAACGGGGCGCGGGCCCGUGGCGUCUCGCGGAAUGGACGGAGGCGCGCAGAGCCCGGCCCUCCCUCCCCGAGGAGCGCGCCCCUUCCCCGGGAGUCGGGCCCCCGCCACCGCGGGAGAGGUGGCGUCACUGAUGACGUCGUUAAGGGGCGGGCACACCGCCUUAUAUGGAGCGUGGGGUUCGGUCGCUCGCUGUCGCGAUCCUGCCUUGCCCCGACCCCCCCUCCCCGACGGGGGGGGCAGGACCGCGGCGCAGAGAGGUCCCGAGAUCUUCUUGCAAGUGGCUUCGAGGAAGCGGGAAGGGGGCAAAACCCUCUCGGCGGGGAUGUGACCCGCGUGGAGGGUCGUGGGGAGGUUUGGGGAUGGACAAAGGGUGGGAUGCUGGAUGCGCCCCUCCACGAUCGCCUCUCUAUAAAUGCACGGGCGGACAUGCCCAGAAAUACCUAUAUUUGAAGACUUCAUGUGCACACACAAAUAUAUCCACAGCUAUAGGUCCGCCUUGUCCAUCUAUCUAUCUAUCUAUAUAUCUCCAUAUAAAUAUAUACUUAUAUAUAUUUUUAUACAUUUAUAUUUAUAUAUAUAUAUAUCUCCUGCUCAAGUGAUGAGCUUUUUCCGCCCAGUAAGGGCUACGACUUCCUUCUCUUUUUUUUUUUUUAAAUUUAAUAAUUUUUUUAUAUUUAUUUUUGUGAGUUUCCAACGUCCCUGUGUUAAUAUUUCACCGACUCCGUGAAAAUCGGCGUUAAUAUCUGAAUGAAUCGGUGAAAAUCGAAAGUCCGAUUUCUGUUAUCAGGAUCCCCUUUCUCCAAGGGGUGAGGGAAAAGGGAAAAAAAAAAAAAAAAGAUGUGUUAGAAAGCAAUCUAUUUUGCUGGUGUUGGGGGUUAAUGACUAUUGCCAAAGAUAAGUGAAUUAUCAAAGCUGUUGCUCUACCCGAUCUCAAAAUCCAUUACAUUGCUGGCCGUCUAAUUAAAUACGUAAGUAUAAUAAAAUCAUAUUUUAUGACUA
This is a long non-coding RNA of Pseudopipra pipra, 1269 nucleotides long. RefSeq lists it as uncharacterized. The record is from RefSeq and is a predicted model, not a curated record. The transcript is spliced from 2 exons. Lineage: Eukaryota; Metazoa; Chordata; Aves; Passeriformes; Pipridae.